RNAcentral lists this ribosomal RNA (271 nucleotides) under uncultured archaeon. RNAcentral describes it as "partial 16S ribosomal RNA". It matches the Rfam family "Archaeal small subunit ribosomal RNA", at positions 477 to 747 of the family's 1478-position model. The record is from RNAcentral.
CGGCGGCUCGAGUGGUGGCCACUAUUAUUGGGCUUAAAGCGUCCGUAGCUGGACCGAUAAGUCUCUUGGGAAAUCCGCCGGCUUAACCGGCGGGCGUCCAGGAGAUACUGUUGGUCUAGGGACCGGGAGAGGUGAGAGGUACUCCGGGGGUAGGAGUGAAAUCCUGUAAUCCCCGGGGGACCACCGAUGGCGAAGGCAUCUCACCAGAACGGCUCCGACAGUGAGGGACAAAAGCUGGGGGAGCGAACCGGAUUAGAUACCCGAGUAGUCC